GCGGCGGGAUUGGAAGAGAUCGUCGUUUUUUUAUAAAGAUUUCUCUCUAGAUCAGUGGAGAUCGAAUGGGAUCUCUUGAGAUCUGUGCUGAUCUUGUGAGAUCUGCGUCAAACUCUCAAGAUCUGUGGCGAUCAGUUGAGAUCUCCGUUCCUCUCUCUAGAUCUUUGGUGGUCUGAAGGUAUCCCAGUCUAGAUCUGUGUUUCUUUCUGAACAUUUGGAGAUCUGAAGGUAUCGGCGUUCUUGUCUCAGAAUUUGACGCGUAAUCACCGAUCUCUUGUUUAUUGUAAGAUACUUAGGGGCUCUGUCAAAU
Molecule: unclassified non-coding RNA, 310 nt
Filed under: Hevea brasiliensis (rubber tree)
Lineage: Eukaryota; Viridiplantae; Streptophyta; Magnoliopsida; Malpighiales; Euphorbiaceae
Source: RNAcentral